RNAcentral lists this ribosomal RNA (460 nucleotides) under uncultured bacterium. RNAcentral describes it as "partial 16S ribosomal RNA". It matches the Rfam family "Bacterial small subunit ribosomal RNA", at positions 338 to 795 of the family's 1533-position model. The record is from RNAcentral.
CCUACGGGAGGCUGCAGUGAGGAAUAUUGGUCAAUGGACGAGAGUCUGAACCAGCCAAGUAGCGUGAAGGAUGACUGCCCUAUGGGUUGUAAACUUCUUUUAUAAAGGAAUAAAACGAGGCACGUGUGCCUUUUUGCAUGGACUUUAUGAAUAAGGAUCGGCUAACUCCGUGCCAGCAGCCGCGGUAAUACGGAGGAUCCGAGCGUUAUCCGGAUUUAGUGGGUUUAAAGGGAGCGUAGAUGGGUUGUUAAGUCAGUUGUGAAAGUUUGCGGCUCAACCGUAAAAUUGCAAUUGAUACUGGCAGUCUUGAGUACAGUUGAGGUAGGCGGAAUUCGUGGUGUAGCGGUGAAAUGCUUAGAUAUCACGAAGAACCCCGAUUGCGAAGGCAGCUUACUAAACUGUGACUGACAUUGAUGCUCGAAAGUGUGGGUAUCAAACAGGAUUAGAUACCCUUGUAGUC